RNAcentral lists this ribosomal RNA (751 nucleotides) under uncultured Peptostreptococcus sp. RNAcentral's name for it is "bacterial SSU rRNA". It matches the Rfam family "Bacterial small subunit ribosomal RNA", at positions 28 to 776 of the family's 1533-position model. Lineage: Bacteria; Bacillati; Bacillota; Clostridia; Peptostreptococcales; Peptostreptococcaceae. The record is from RNAcentral.
GAUGAACGCUAGCGGCAGGCUUAACACAUGCAAGUCGGACGGGAUCGGGGCUUCGGCCCCGUGAGAGUGGCGGAUGGGUGAGUAACGCGUAUGCAACCUGCCCCGUGCCGGGGGGUAGCCCGCCCAAAGGCGGAUUAGACCCCCGCGAUGCGCCGGGACCGCAUGGUCCGGGCGCGAUAGCCGCGAGGCGGCGCGGGAUGGGCAUGCGGGCCAUUAGCUAGACGGCGGGGUAACGGCCCACCGUGGCGACGAUGGCUAGGGGGCCUGAGAGGGCGACCCCCCACAUUGGGACUGAGACACGGCCCAAACUCCUACGGGAGGCAGCAGUGAGGAAUAUUGGUCAAUGGGCGGAAGCCUGAACCAGCCAUGCCGCGUGCCGGAAGACGGCCCUACGGGCUGUAAACGGCUUUUGGCGGGGAGGAAUAAGGGCCGUUCUGGGCCCGAUGCCCGUACCCGCCGAAUAAGGAUCGGCUAACUCCGUGCCAGCAGCCGCGGUAAUACGGGGGAUCCGAGCGUUAUCCGGAUUUACUGGGUUUAAAGGGUGCGCAGGCGGCGGGGUCCGUCCGCGGUGAAACGCCGGGGCUCAACCCCGGCCUUGCCGUGGAAACCGCCCCGCUUGGAUACGGUCGAGGCUGGCGGAACGCGUGGUGUAGCGGUGAAAUGCUUAGAGAUCACGUGGAAGGCCGAUUGCGGAGGCAGCUGGCCAGGCCGGGAUUGACGCUGAGGCACGAAAGCGUGGGGAGCGAACAGG